GGCAUUUCAAAACAACCAUCUUGGGCCUGGUGCAAGCACAAUCACCUGAAAAAAGAGAGCAAAACUGGCAGACAAAAACACUGCUCCUGGCAUGUGAAAACACCGCACUAUGUACAGCUAACACAAUGGCACUACUGCGACUGAAGCAAUACAUCCAUCACUACACUUCCGAUGACCUGCACUUUGCUGAUGCCUGAAACCAGUUCUAAAUUACAGCCUCCUCCAUCCAUGGGCUGUGCAUGCUAGCUACACACCAGCGUCAGCCUGCCAUUGCUGGAGCAACAGCCAGUUCUCAUUCCAGACAAUAUCCUCAAGUCUUCAGUUUGUUGGUUAUCAGCUUCACCAGGAGAUUUGGGGAGAAAAAAAGAAACUACCUUAAGCCUUGUUAAAAGGAUUCAAAAGGAUUCAACAUCCCCACCCUAUUAGCCAAGGCACUGAAAACAGGUACCAGAGUUCACUUUAGCAUACAAAGCAGGUACUUCUGAGUAAUAAAAUAUGAGAACAUACUUGUACUUAAGACUACAUUUAAACUAUGCUAUCUAAAAUUUUGUCUGCAUCUAACUUUUCAGGAUCAAGAAAACCAAAAGGGGUUAAAGCAAUGUGUAUCUAUGAUGUUUGUUAAAGCAAUGAUCAUCUGUACACAUAAACAGACUACCACCAAGUCUUCCAUCAGAAUCAGAAUUGGCACCCGGCUUUGCUAAAUCGUAAUUUUGUUCAGGAGAGCUUUCUGUAAACUAAACUGACUUCAAGUUGUUGACAUUAUACCAAAGAGCAUAGAAAACUGUUCAGGUUUGAAGGAAGGGUGCCACCUGCCUUACACUGUUUGGGUUUGUUUUUUGAGGCAGGGUGGAAGACUUGGAUUUACUUUAAGAAACAUUAAAAGCUGAACCAAAAAGAUACUAUACUGAAGCAACCACCACCAGCAAGGACAACAAGUAAAUAUGCCAACAGUUCUGUCAGCAUAACCUAUGAAUCCUUACUUUUUGCUUGUAAGGGUUAGAAAGGAAAACUCCAGAAAGCCUCACUGUACUCAUUAAAAACAGUGGACCCUUCUGCAGUUUCCCAGUUUUUCUUAUGUUUUCUAGGUACAGAAUAACUUUGUCCCUCUAAAACAAAUUAAAAUGGAAAGAGCACACCAGCCGUUGUCACCUGAAGAUCAUGGCUACUGAGCUUCACCUUAUGCUACCUGAACAAUUUCCGCACAACAGAAAGACUGAACUACAGCCAGCUGUUCACAGAAUUUAUGUUUGUACCAGCCAUUAACUUCAGGUUUUUUUGCAUUACAGGAAGAUUUGACAGCACCUCAAAUCUUGGGAAAUUGUGUUUUCAAGGAAUUAACGGGGAAAUAUCUCUCCCAUGGCAAACUGUCUAAGCAGACUGAUUCAGUAAGAGUGAUUUCUACUCCCAAACUCGGGUACUUGAUUGCUAAGCGACCACUAAGUACCCACUUAACCUCUCAAAAGAUCUGUGCAAGGCUAUUUCUGAAACACUGAGACCUAAGGUUUGGAAAAACCUGACUUUGAGGAAACUUACACCAGGCU
Pezoporus occidentalis (night parrot) is the source of this 1541-nucleotide long non-coding RNA. RefSeq lists it as uncharacterized. Lineage: Eukaryota; Metazoa; Chordata; Aves; Psittaciformes; Psittacidae. The transcript has 2 exons. The record is from RefSeq and is a predicted model, not a curated record.